Cricetulus griseus (Chinese hamster) is the source of this 1968-nucleotide non-coding RNA. The record is from RefSeq and is a predicted model, not a curated record. NCBI's taxonomy places the organism in Eukaryota, Metazoa, Chordata, Mammalia, Rodentia, Cricetidae.
GGUGGCAACCUAAACCCACUGCCGCCAUUGGUACCCUGAAAAUGAAGGCAUGCAUCAUUGCAGCAGUCACCGAGUAAACGUAGUGUCACCCACAUGAUCAACACUCCAGAGGCUCGGAAGAUGUCAGUCAAUACAGUUCUUGAAAAACCUCAGAGAUAAGAGAUGGGGCGAAGGAUGAGGAGCCUCAGGUCUGUGGGUGGUGAAUGGCAUAGGUUGGAUCUCAGUAUGUCUCGUGAAAAUUCAUUAUGUGAUAUGGAGCCUCUUCUUCAAAAUACCGUAAGCGUGGUCUGGAUUUUUUUCUUAAGCCCUCCAACUGAUAUGGAGCAAGACAGUCAGACACCUUCACCUGAACCAGAUCCGUCUCCCUCAUCCCCAAUGACACCAUGGGUCCUCACCAGUGUGUGUGGAGCAAGGUAAUUUCUUCCUAAGGGCACUUCUAUUGGUAAUUUCAAACUGCAAGAGGACAAGGAGCUCCAAGGAUGGAGACAGUUUGGUCUACCUGGCUGGAAGAGACGUCCCUGCAUCCAAGCAAAGUGAACCCGUGAUGAGGAAAGGAAAAUGGGGAAAAAAAUGAUCACAUGUAUGCAGUAUAAAGUUUGUACAAUAAAAAAAUAAUGUCUUUAUAAAUUUACAUUUGCCUUUAAAUACCCUGUCUGCCCAAGUGAGAAACUGCUGUCCUCCUUUUGUGUGUGGUAAAGGGAGGUGGAGAACCCAGCCAAAGAUGCACACCAGGACCAAAACUAGCAAUGAUGGUGCAGUCUGGGGCUUCUCCUGAACCCUAAGGCCACCUCUCCUGUGGGGGAGGCAGUUCCUGCAAAACCCGGAUUGUCAGAUUGGGGAAGAGCUGGAGACUCACCUGGGCCGACAGGAGCAGGUGGUGGUCUUAACUUCGGUGAGAGUCCCAGCUGAAGGUUCUGAGGGUGGAGCCCCAGGAGAAUUGAAAGUUGUCCUGCGCCUCUUUGUCCCCACUGGAUGCUGAAGAGGGUACCCUGUUUCUUCCAGAUACAACCUCAUCCUUGUUUGCUGGAGGAAGCCCGUGUGCUUGUUCCUCAAAGUUUCUCAUCUUCCGUGAAAGGCACUGGCUGGAGAGCGUGAUGUAGCCCGGUUGGUUGCUAGAACACAAAACCCUAGGUUCAACUCCAAGCACCACACAGUCUGGGCAUGGUGACACAUACCCAGAAUUCCAGCACUUGAAAGGUGGAGGCUAGGUUAUUACAAGCACAAGAUCAGGUCUGGGGAGAAGCAUGGUCAUUAGAGGGCUAAGUUUGAUCCCAGGGACCGAUCCAAUCCCACAGCUGAGGACACAGAGCUAAGUGGAUCCCUGGGCACCACUGGCCUGACAGCCUAGCCUACAUGUUGGUGACAAGCAACAUGGUGUGCCCCUUGCCCCUGGACCAAAUAAAUGUAUGGAAAAUUAAAAUUCCCCUUAUGAAAUACACACAAGAUACACAGCAUUUCUAUAAUACAAGAGGAUUGAAAGAAGGAAACAAAAAAUAUUUUCGCCUGCCUACAGAAGAUUCGAUGCCUCUGAUCCCUUUAACUGGUGUUUACAUGGACUGAUCACUUUCCUUUGUUGGUGAAUAUACAGUCCCGUCUGAAGAGACUUAAAAAAGGCAGAAUCAUACGUGGAUACUGCCAGCGCUCUUUAUAAAUGACAGCAGUGAUUUUUGAAAGAACAGCUUAAAUAUUCCAUAUCUGGAAUAUUUUCCAUAUCAGUAUCUGGAUACUGAGUAAUAAAUGCUAAAAAAAACCCUCUGCUCAUGAUGGAUAGCUACUUGAACAAAUUUAAAUACUGGCAAAAUCCUCCGUUCAUGGCAGGUAACUCUUGCUUUGGUGUGUGACGGUGGCUGGCUUCCAAAUAUAAGCAUUGUUUUAAGAAACUUUAUUGAUAGUUCUAAUGGGCACUGCCUAGACAUAAUGAAACUUCCCCAAAUGCAAGCUCAUUAAAAACUGUCUCAGAAACUGUUA